This 741-nucleotide ribosomal RNA is filed under the name uncultured bacterium. RNAcentral describes it as "bacterial SSU rRNA". It matches the Rfam family "Bacterial small subunit ribosomal RNA", at positions 1 to 729 of the family's 1533-position model. The record is from RNAcentral.
UUAUCGCNCNAUUCCCUUGAGUUGAUCUGGCUCAGGAUGAACGCUAGCGGCAGGCUUAAUACAUGCAAGUCGAGGGGCAGCGCGGGUAGCAAUACCUGGCGGCGACCGGCAAACGGGUGCGGAACACGUACGCAACCUUCCUUCAAGUGGGGAAUAGCCCAGGGAAACUUGGAUUAAUACCCCUUAAUAUUAUUGGGUGGCAUCACCUGAUAAUUAAAGCUCCGGCGCUUGAAGAUGGGCGUGCGCCUGAUUAGGUAGUUGGCGGGGUAACAGCCCACCAAGCCUACGAUCAGUAACUGGUGUGAGAGCACGACCAGUCACACGGGCACUGAGACACGGGCCCGACUCCUACGGGAGGCAGCAGUAAGGAAUAUUGGUCAAUGGACGCAAGUCUGAACCAGCCAUGCUGCGUGGAGGAUGACGGCCCUCUGGGUUGUAAACUCCUUUUAUCUGGGAAGAAAUGCAGACUUUCUAGUCUGUUUGACGGUACCAGAGGAAUAAGCACCGGCUAACUCCGUGCCAGCAGCCGCGGUAAUACGGAGGGUGCAAGCGUUAUCCGGAUUCACUGGGUUUAAAGGGUGCGUAGGUGGAGUGGUAAGUCAGUGGUGAAAUCUCCAAGCUUAACUUGGAAACUGCCGUUGAUACUAUCAUUCUUGAAUAUCGUGGAGGUAAGCGGAAUAUGUCAUGUAGCGGUGAAAUGCUUAGAUAUGACAUAGAACACCGAUUGCGAAGGCAGCUUGC